RNAcentral lists this unclassified non-coding RNA (207 nucleotides) under uncultured Chaetothyriales. Its description in RNAcentral is "sequence contains ITS1". The record is from RNAcentral. Lineage: Eukaryota; Fungi; Ascomycota; Eurotiomycetes; Chaetothyriales.
CCGAGUUAGGGUGUCCUCGUUCGCGAGCGCCCGACCUCCCAACCCUUUGCUUACUUGACCUUUUGUUGCUUCGGCAGGCCCGCCUCCGGGCCGCCGGGCGUCGGUGACACGCGCCUGGCCAGUCUGCCUGCCGACGGCCCCAAUUAUUAAACCCAUGUUUAAAACGUGUCGUCUGAGUUAACUUUUUGUUAUACACAAAAUAAGUAA